Molecule: ribosomal RNA, 510 nt
Filed under: uncultured bacterium
Lineage: Bacteria
Description: partial 16S ribosomal RNA
Rfam family: Bacterial small subunit ribosomal RNA
Source: RNAcentral
GACGAACGCUGGCGGCGUGCUUAACACAUGCAAGUCGAACGAAGAGCGAUGGAAGCUUGCUUCUAUCAAUCUUAGUGGCGAACGGGUGAGUAACGCGUAAUCAACCUGCCCUUCAGAGGGGGACAACAGUUGGAAACGACUGCUAAUACCGCAUACGAUCUAAUCUCGGCAUCGAGGAUAGAUGAAAGGUGGCCUCUACAUGUAAGCUCUCACUGAAGGAGGGGAUUGCGUCUGAUUAGCUAGUUGGAGGGGUAACGGCCCACCAAGGCGAUGAUCAGUAGCCGGUCUGAGAGGAUGAACGGCCACAUUGGGACUGAGACACGGCCCAGACUCCUACGGGAGGCAGCAGUGGGGAAUCUUCCGCAAUGGACGAAAGUCUGACGGAGCAACGCCGCGUGAGUGAUGACGGCCUUCGGGUUGUAAAGCUCUGUUAAUCGGGACGAAAGGCCUUCUUGCGAAUAGUGAGAAGGAUUGACGGUACCGGAAGAGAAAGCCACGGCUAACUACGUG